CAGUCGCCGCGGGAAUACGUAGGGUCCGAGCGUUGUCCGGAAUUAUUGGGCGUAAAGGGCUCGUAGGCGGUUUGUUGCGUCGGGAGUGAAAACCCAGGGCUUAACUCUGGGCUUGCUUUCGAUACGGGCAGACUUGAGGCAUUGAGGGGAGAACGGAAUUCCUGGUGUAGCGGUGAAAUGCGCAGAUAUCAGGAGGAACACCGGUGGCGAAGGCGGUUCUCUGGCAAUGUUCUGACGCUGAGGAGCGAAAGUGUGGGGAGCGAACAGGAUUAGAUACCCGUGUAGUCCCUGUCUCUUAUAC
Molecule: ribosomal RNA, 301 nt
Filed under: uncultured bacterium
Lineage: Bacteria
Description: partial 16S ribosomal RNA
Rfam family: Bacterial small subunit ribosomal RNA
Source: RNAcentral